UAUUUUAAUAGCUUAUAUUUAGAGCAUAAUAUUGAAGAUAUUAAGGAAGUUAUUUACUUUAAAAUAU
This 67-nucleotide transfer RNA is filed under the name Macrolycus sp. UPOL TH0094. Its description in RNAcentral is "tRNA-Phe". The record is from RNAcentral. Lineage: Eukaryota; Metazoa; Arthropoda; Insecta; Coleoptera; Lycidae.